RNAcentral lists this ribosomal RNA (488 nucleotides) under uncultured bacterium. Its description in RNAcentral is "partial 16S ribosomal RNA". It matches the Rfam family "Bacterial small subunit ribosomal RNA", at positions 28 to 507 of the family's 1533-position model. The record is from RNAcentral.
GACGAACGCUGGCGGCGUGCUUAACACAUGCAAGUCGAACGGAAAGGCCCGGCUUUUGUUGCUUUCUCGAUUGGCGAACGGGGGAGUAACACGUGAGUAACCUCCCCCUGACUUUCGGGUAACUUCACGAAACUCCGGCUAAUACCGCAUAUGAUCUCCUGCUGCAUGUUGGGGAUUGGAAAGUUUCGGCUUUUGUGUAUGUUCUCGCGGCUUAUCCGCUUGUUUGUUAGGUUGUUGCUUACCAAGGCUUUGACGGGUAGCCUGCCUGAGAGGGUGACCGGCCGCACUGGAACGGAGACACGGUCCAGAGUCCUACGGGAGGCAGCAGUAGGGAAUCUUCCGCAAUGGGCGGAAGCCUGACGGAGCAACGCCGCGUGAGUGAUGAAGGUCUUCGGAUCGUAAAACUCUGUUAUUAGGGAAGAACAAAUGUGUAAGUAACUAUGCACGUCUUGACGGUAACUGAUCAGAAAGCCACGGCUAACUACGUG